GCGCCAUUAGUACAGUGGUCAGUAUAUUUGCUUCCCAUCUGAUCUUGGAACAGCAAGGGACCCGAGUUCGAAUCUCGGAUGGCGCA
This is a non-coding RNA of Cercophora newfieldiana, 86 nucleotides long. The record is from the annotation of a GenBank genome assembly. NCBI's taxonomy places the organism in Eukaryota, Fungi, Ascomycota, Sordariomycetes, Sordariales, Lasiosphaeriaceae.